This 1019-nucleotide ribosomal RNA is filed under the name Klebsiella pneumoniae. RNAcentral's name for it is "partial 23S ribosomal RNA". It matches the Rfam family "Bacterial large subunit ribosomal RNA", at positions 1 to 1069 of the family's 2925-position model. Lineage: Bacteria; Pseudomonadati; Pseudomonadota; Gammaproteobacteria; Enterobacterales; Enterobacteriaceae. The record is from RNAcentral.
GGUCAAGUGAAGAAGCGCAUACGGUGGAUGCCUUGGCAGUCAGAGGCGAUGAAAGACGUGGUAGCCUGCGAUAAGCUUUGGGGAGUCGGCAAACAGACUGUGAUCCAGAGAUCUCUGAAUGGGGGAACCCAGCCAGCAUAAGCUGGUUAUCUUGUACUGAAUACAUAGGUGCAAGAGGCGAACCAGGGGAACUGAAACAUCUAAGUACCCUGAGGAAAAGAAAUCAACCGAGAUUCCCUUAGUAGUGGCGAGCGAACGGGGACCAGCCCUUAAGUUGGUUUGAGAUUAGUGGAACGCUCUGGAAAGUGCGGCCAUAGUGGGUGAUAGCCCCGUACACGAAAAUCUCUUAUCAAUGAAAUCGAGUAGGACGGAGCACGAGAAACUUUGUCUGAAUAUGGGGGGACCAUCCUCCAAGGCUAAAUACUACUGACUGACCGAUAGUGAACCAGUACCGUGAGGGAAAGGCGAAAAGAACCCCGGAGAGGGGAGUGAAAUAGAACCUGAAACCGUAUGCGUACAAGCAGUGGGAGCCUACUUUGUUAGGUGACUGCGUACCUUUUGUAUAAUGGGUCAGCGACUUAUAUUCAGUGGCGAGCUUAACCGAAUAGGGGAGGCGUAGCGAAAGCGAGUCUUAAUAGGGCGUUUAGUCGCUGGGUAUAGACCCGAAACCGGGCGAUCUAUCCAUGGGCAGGUUGAAGGUUAGGUAACACUGACUGGAGGACCGAACCGACUACCGUUGAAAAGUUAGCGGAUGACCUGUGGAUCGGAGUGAAAGGCUAAUCAAGCUCGGAGAUAGCUGGUUCUCCUCGAAAGCUAUUUAGGUAGCGCCUCAUGUAUCACUGUAGGGGGUAGAGCACUGUUUCGGCUAGGGGGUCAUCCCGACUUACCAAACCGAUGCAAACUCCGAAUACCUACAAGUGCCGAGCAUGGGAGACACACGGCGGGUGCUAACGUCCGUCGUGAAGAGGGAAACAACCCAGACCGCCAGCUAAGGUCCCAAAGUCAUGGUUAAGUGGGAA